Molecule: ribosomal RNA, 3071 nt
Filed under: Campylobacter jejuni
Lineage: Bacteria; Pseudomonadati; Campylobacterota; Epsilonproteobacteria; Campylobacterales; Campylobacteraceae
Description: 23S ribosomal RNA
Rfam family: Bacterial large subunit ribosomal RNA
Source: RNAcentral
AAAAAAGGUAAGCUACUAAGAGCGAAUGGUGGAUGCCUUGACUGGUAAAGGCGAUGAAGGACGUACUAGACUGCGAUAAGCUACGGGGAGCUGUCAAGAAGCUUUGAUCCGUAGAUUUCCGAAUGGGGCAACCCAAUGUAUAGAGAUAUACAUUACCUAUAUAGGAGCGAACGAGGGGAAUUGAAACAUCUUAGUACCCUCAGGAAAAGAAAUCAAUAGAGAUUGCGUCAGUAGCGGCGAGCGAAAGCGCAACAGGGCAAACCCAGUGCUUGCACUGGGGGUUGUAGGACUGCAAUGUGCAAGAGGUAAGUUUAGCAGAACAUUCUGGAAAGUAUAACCAUAGAGGGUGAUAGUCCCGUAUGCGAAAAACAAACCUUAGCUAGCAGUAUCCUGAGUAGGGCGGGACACGAGGAAUCCUGUCUGAAUCCGGGUCGACCACGAUCCAACCCUAAAUACUAAUACCAGAUCGAUAGUGCACAAGUACCGUGAGGGAAAGGUGAAAAGAACUGAGGUGAUCAGAGUGAAAUAGAACCUGAAACCAUUUGCUUACAAUCAUUCAGAGCCCUAUGUAGCAAUACAGGGUGAUGGACUGCCUUUUGCAUAAUGAGCCUGCGAGUUGUGGUGUCUGGCAAGGUUAAGCAAACGCGAAGCCGUAGCGAAAGCGAGUCUGAAUAGGGCGCUUAGUCAGAUGCUGCAGACCCGAAACGAAGUGAUCUAUCCAUGAGCAAGUUGAAGCUAGUGUAAGAACUAGUGGAGGACUGAACCCAUAGGCGUUGAAAAGCCCCGGGAUGACUUGUGGAUAGGGGUGAAAGGCCAAUCAAACUUCGUGAUAGCUGGUUCUCUCCGAAAUAUAUUUAGGUAUAGCGUUGUGUCGUAAUAUAAGGGGGUAGAGCACUGAAUGGGCUAGGGCAUACACCAAUGUACCAAACCCUAUCAAACUCCGAAUACCUUAUAUGUAAUCACAGCAGUCAGGCGGCGAGUGAUAAAAUCCGUCGUCAAGAGGGAAACAACCCAGACUACCAGCUAAGGUCCCUAAAUCUUACUUAAGUGGAAAACGAUGUGAAGUUACUUAAACAACCAGGAGGUUGGCUUAGAAGCAGCCAUCCUUUAAAGAAAGCGUAAUAGCUCACUGGUCUAGUGAUUUUGCGCGGAAAAUAUAACGGGGCUAAAGUAAGUACCGAAGCUGUAGACUUGCACACAACUUAGAUUAUUUAAGUUUAGAAUAUGAGAAACUAAGUUAUAUGUUUAGUUAUAUUUUUACUGAUUUUUAUAGAGUAAAGAUAGAAAUAAAACUUAGUAAAAUCAGUAAAAAUAUUCUUAGACUAAAGUUAAGUAGUUUAAGUUGUGUGCAAGUGGUAGGAGAGCGUUCUAUUUGCGUCGAAGGUAUACCGGUAAGGAGUGCUGGAGCGAAUAGAAGUGAGCAUGCAGGCAUGAGUAGCGAUAAUUAAUGUGAGAAUCAUUAACGCCGUAAACCCAAGGUUUCCUACGCGAUGCUCGUCAUCGUAGGGUUAGUCGGGUCCUAAGUCGAGUCCGAAAGGGGUAGACGAUGGCAAAUUGGUUAAUAUUCCAAUACCAACAUUAGUGUGCGAUGGAAGGACGCUUAGGGCUAAGGGGGCUAGCGGAUGGAAGUGCUAGUCUAAGGUCGUAGGAGGUUAUACAGGCAAAUCCGUAUAACAAUACUCCGAGAACUGAAAGGCUUUUUGAAGUCUUCGGAUGGAUAGAAGAACCCCUGAUGCCGUCGAGCCAAGAAAAGUUUCUAAGUUUAGCUAAUGUUGCCCGUACCGUAAACCGACACAGGUGGGUGGGAUGAGUAUUCUAAGGCGCGUGGAAGAACUCUCUUUAAGGAACUCUGCAAAAUAGCACCGUAUCUUCGGUAUAAGGUGUGGUUAGCUUUGUAUUAGGAUUUACUCCGAAAGCAAGGAAACUUACAACAAAGAGUCCCUCCCGACUGUUUACCAAAAACACAGCACUCUGCUAACUCGUAAGAGGAUGUAUAGGGUGUGACGCCUGCCCGGUGCUCGAAGGUUAAUUGAUGGGGUUAGCAUUAGCGAAGCUCUUGAUCGAAGCCCGAGUAAACGGCGGCCGUAACUAUAACGGUCCUAAGGUAGCGAAAUUCCUUGUCGGUUAAAUACCGACCUGCAUGAAUGGCGUAACGAGAUGGGAGCUGUCUCAAAGAGGGAUCCAGUGAAAUUGUAGUGGAGGUGAAAAUUCCUCCUACCCGCGGCAAGACGGAAAGACCCCGUGGACCUUUACUACAGCUUGACACUGCUACUUGGAUAAGAAUGUGCAGGAUAGGUGGGAGGCUUUGAGUAUAUGACGCCAGUUGUAUAUGAGCCAUUGUUGAGAUACCACUCUUUCUUAUUUGGGUAGCUAACCAGCUUGAGUUAUCCUCAAGUGGGACAAUGUCUGGUGGGUAGUUUGACUGGGGCGGUCGCCUCCCAAAUAAUAACGGAGGCUUACAAAGGUUGGCUCAGAACGGUUGGAAAUCGUUCGUAGAGUAUAAAGGUAUAAGCCAGCUUAACUGCAAGACAUACAAGUCAAGCAGAGACGAAAGUCGGUCUUAGUGAUCCGGUGGUUCUGUGUGGAAGGGCCAUCGCUCAAAGGAUAAAAGGUACCCCGGGGAUAACAGGCUGAUCUCCCCCAAGAGCUCACAUCGACGGGGAGGUUUGGCACCUCGAUGUCGGCUCAUCGCAUCCUGGGGCUGGAGCAGGUCCCAAGGGUAUGGCUGUUCGCCAUUUAAAGCGGUACGCGAGCUGGGUUCAGAACGUCGUGAGACAGUUCGGUCCCUAUCUGCCGUGGGCGUAAGAAGAUUGAAGAGAUUUGACCCUAGUACGAGAGGACCGGGUUGAACAAACCACUGGUGUAGCUGUUGUUCUGCCAAGAGCAUCGCAGCGUAGCUAAGUUUGGAAAGGAUAAACGCUGAAAGCAUCUAAGCGUGAAGCCAACUCUAAGAUGAAUCUUCUCUAAGCUCUCUAGAAGACUACUAGUUUGAUAGGCUGGGUGUGUAAUGGAUGAAAGUCCUUUAGCUGACCAGUACUAAUAGAGCGUUUGGCUUAUCUUUAAUAAAGCAU